AAAGUUUUGCAUUUUGCAUUUUUGAAUUUUAUUAUUGUAUUCUUUUAAAUUUUGUAUUUUGAAUUUUCUAUUAUUGUUUUGUUUUUGCAAAUGUUUGCAUUUUGAUUUUGUUCUUUGUAACUAUUUAUUGUAAUUCCCCUUUUCCCUAUAUUAUGCACCUAGUGUAAGGUAGUGGAUAGGAGUAGGGAAGAAAGAUAAGUGUAGGAUAAAGAUUGUUUGUUUGUUAUUUGGAGUAAGUAUAAUAGAAUAGGUUUGCAAUAAGGGGAAUUUAUAUAUUUACUGGUGAGCAUAUGAUAAAUCUACAGAUUUGCUCAAAUGCUCAGAGGGUAGAAUAUAGGAAUAAAAUUAUAGAAAUAAGAAUGAGUUUAAGUGAAGUUAAAGGUUGUCUUUAAGGGGAUAGCAUGGGCACAUGCUAGGAACUCUGAAGAGAGGAUUCUGGAAUGUAGGGAGAAGAGGAGGAAGAGUUUGGAAGUUACAACUGCCUCUUCCUGUCCUGAAGUGGAAGAGGAAAGAGCUGGCUCUCUGCUGAGCCUUUAUAACCAAACCUGUUUAUAAGAGAAGGGAAACCUUUCAAUUUCUUUUUGGAGAUACCUUUUCCACAGAAGAAACCCACCUAAAGGAGAUCUCUCUAUUCUAUCAACCCUGAGGGAGAGGAAGUUUUAUUCAAAGUCUGUUGGUGUGUGGGCUGAGGUAUUCACCUCAGGCUCCAGUGCAGGGUGAACUCAGCCAAUUUGAGUUCAUCCUAUGUCAACUAGGAAAAACUAUUAACAACCACAUAAACCAACAAGGGAGGGUUUUAGUGUAAGGUAGAAUAGAGAGGGUUUGGAGAUACUUAGCCAGAAUCAGGGAGUGAUAGGGAGCUUCAAGAUCUUGAAGAGUCUAUAUCAGAUGGGUGUAGAGGAAAGAGCUGGAAGAAGACAAAGCAGUAUUGGCACAUCCAUGGGUUGGAAAAAUGUUGGAGUGGCUUGAUAUAAUAUCUACACCACUGGAGACUUUUUUCCCUGGAUCUUGUGUCAUCUGGCUGGGUGAGUGGCUGAGAUUCCUGCCUUGGCUUUGGAGGAGGCUGUAUUGGUGGAACUCCAGAUGAAGACACCACCAGGACUUCUGGCUGAGGAUUACCAGAAAAUCUAUGUGGAGAUCCAACUUGGGGGAGUCCCUUCUAGGGCUGAACUGGACUUCACUGGAGAAGGGCUGGGUUUCCAGGCUCUACCAUCCCAGCUAGAGAAAAGUCCAAAGAACCCUGAGAACAUAGAUAUCCUGACCUUACUCCAAAAUUUCCCAUGUAAAGGUGGCUCUUCAUCAAAACUGUCUGCAUAAGUUGGUUGUGAAUAAUAAUCCGAAUUAUAUGUUGGCUGAAAAACUUGUCCCAUGUAACUCGAAGAUGCAAUCAUCUCUGGAGGAACAAAAGCUGCAGAGUUGGGCUGUCUGGAAUGAAAAAAAUAUUGUUAUUAAACCAUCUAUGAGAUUAAUACAAUAAUAAAACAGAGA
Long non-coding RNA from Monodelphis domestica (gray short-tailed opossum), 1488 nucleotides. RefSeq lists it as uncharacterized. The record is from RefSeq and is a predicted model, not a curated record. NCBI's taxonomy places the organism in Eukaryota, Metazoa, Chordata, Mammalia, Didelphimorphia, Didelphidae.